AAGCGCUUGUGACCAGACUUGGGCGCGGCGGAUCAUCCGGGGUUCUCUCCGGUGCACUUCGCCGCGUCUAGGCCAGCAUCAGUUCGUCGCGGGGGAAAAAGGCUUCGGGAACGUGGCUCCUCCGGGAGUGUUAUAGCCCUCGGUGCAAUGCCGCCUACCUGGACCGAGGACCGCGCUUCGGCUAGGAUGCUGGCGUAAUGGU
RNAcentral lists this ribosomal RNA (202 nucleotides) under Hypocreaceae sp. RNAcentral describes it as "partial large subunit ribosomal RNA". Lineage: Eukaryota; Fungi; Ascomycota; Sordariomycetes; Hypocreales; Hypocreaceae. The record is from RNAcentral.